RNAcentral lists this transfer RNA (66 nucleotides) under Pontia callidice. Its description in RNAcentral is "tRNA-Asn". The record is from RNAcentral. Lineage: Eukaryota; Metazoa; Arthropoda; Insecta; Lepidoptera; Pieridae.
UUAAUUGAAACCAAAAUAGAGGUAUAUCACUGUUAAUGAUAUUAAUGAAUUAGAAUUCCAAUUAAA